UGCAAGUCGAGGGGUAUAGUUCUUCGGAGCUAGAGACCGGCGCACGGGUGCGUAACGCGUAUGCAAUCUACCUUUUACAGAGGGAUAGCCCAGAGAAAUUUGGAUUAAUACCUCAUAGUAUGUGAGAAUCGCAUGGUUUUCACAUUAAAGUCACAACGGUAAAAGAUGAGCAUGCGUCCCAUUAGCUAGAUGGUAAGGUAACGGCUUACCAUGGCAACGAUGGGUAGGGGUCCUGAGAGGGAGAUCCCCCACACUGGUACUGAGACACGGAUCAGACUCCUACGGGAGGCAGCAGUGAGGAAUAUUGGACAAUGGGCGCAAGCCUGAUCCAGCCAUGCCGCGUGCAGGAUGACGGUCCUAUGGAUUGUAAACUGCUUUUGUACAGGAAGAAACACUCCCUCGUGAGGGAGCUUGACGGUACUGUAAGAAUAAGGAUCGGCUAACUCCGUGCCAGCAGCCGCGGUAAUACGGAGGAUCCAAGCGUUAUCCGGAAUCAUUGGGUUUAAAGGGUCCGUAGGCGGUUUAAUAAGUCAGUGGUGAAAGCCCAUCGCUCAACGGUGGAACGGCCAUUGAUACUGUUAAACUUGAAUUAUUAGGAAGUAACUAGAAUAUGUAGCGUAGCGGUGAAAUGCUUAGAGAUUACAUGGAAUACCAAUUGCGAAGGCAGGUUACUACUAAUGGAUUGACGCUGAUGGACGAAAGCGUGGGUAGCGAACAGGAUUAGAUACCCUGGUAGUCCACGCCGUAAACGAUGGAUACUAGCUGUUGGGAGCAAUCUCAGUGGCUAAGCGAAAGUGAUAAGUAUCCCACCUGGGGAGUACGUUCGCAAGAAUGAAACUCAAAGGAAUUGACGGGGGCCCGCACAAGCGGUGGAGCAUGUGGUUUAAUUCGAUGAUACGCGAGGAACCCUUACAAGGCUUAAAUGUAGUUUGACCGAUUUGGAACAGAUCUUCGCAAGACAAAUUACAAGUGCUGCAUGGUUGUCGUCAGCUCGUGCC
This 998-nucleotide ribosomal RNA is filed under the name uncultured Flavobacteriaceae bacterium. RNAcentral describes it as "bacterial SSU rRNA". It matches the Rfam family "Bacterial small subunit ribosomal RNA", at positions 56 to 1066 of the family's 1533-position model. The record is from RNAcentral. Lineage: Bacteria; Pseudomonadati; Bacteroidota; Flavobacteriia; Flavobacteriales; Flavobacteriaceae.